CAUAACGGAGGAAAGAAACCAACAGGGAUUGCCUCAGUAACGGCGAGUGAAGCGGCAACAGCUCAAAUUUGAAAGCUGGCGUCCUCGACGCCCGCGUUGUAUUUUGGAGAGGCAGCUUCGGUGAGGGCGCCAGCCUAUGUUCCUUGGAACAGGACGUCGCAGAGGGUGAGAAUCCCGUGCCUGGCUGGCUGUCCCUCCCCACGUGAAGCGCCUUCGACGAGUCGAGUUGUUUGGGAAUGCAGCUCAAAAUGGGUGGUAAAUUUCAUCUAAAGCUAAAUAUUGGCGGGAGACCGAUAGCGCACAAGUAGAGUGAUCGAAAGAUGAAAAGCACUUUGAAAAUAGAGUUAAAAAGUACGUGAAAUUGUUGAAAGGGAAGCGCUUGAGACCAGACUCGGCCGGAAAUGAUCAGCCGUCCUUCUGGGCGGUGCACUCGUUUCCUGUCGGGCCAGCAUCGGUUGAGACGGCGGGACAAAGGCCUCGGGAAUGUGGCUCCUCUCGGGGAGUGUUAUAGCCCGGGGCGCAAUGCCGUCAGCCUCGACCGAGGACCGCGCCAUCGUGCUAGGAUGCUGGCGUAAUGGUCUUCAGCGACCCGUCUUGAAACACGGACCAAGGAGUCUAACAUCUAUGCGAGUGUUUGGGUGUCAAACCCUUGCGCGUAAUGAAAGUGAACGGAGGUGGGAACCCCCUCGCGGGGCGCACCAUCGACCGGUCCUGAUGUCUUCGGAUGGAUCUGAGUAGGAGCAUAGCUGUUGGGACCCGAAAGAUGGUGAACUAUGCCUGAAUAGGGUGAAGCCAGAGGAAACUCUGGUGGAGGCUCGCAGCGGUUCUGACGUGCAAAUCGAUCGUCAAAUUUGGGUAUAGGGGCGAAAGACUAAUCGAACCAUCUAGAACUGGU
This 895-nucleotide ribosomal RNA is filed under the name Hydnotrya sp. Its description in RNAcentral is "partial large subunit ribosomal RNA". It matches the Rfam family "Eukaryotic large subunit ribosomal RNA", at positions 46 to 955 of the family's 3401-position model. The record is from RNAcentral. Lineage: Eukaryota; Fungi; Ascomycota; Pezizomycetes; Pezizales; Discinaceae.